ACGGAGGGUGCAAGCGUUAUCCGGAUUCACUGGGUUUAAAGGGUGCGUAGGUGGGUUGGUAAGUCAGUGGUGAAAUCUCCGAGCUUAACUUGGAAACUGCCAUUGAUACUAUCAGUCUUGAAUACCGUGGAGGUUAGCGGAAUAUGUCAUGUAGCGGUGAAAUGCUUAGAUAUGACAUAGAACACCAAUUGCGAAGGCAGCUGGCUACACGAAUAUUGACACUGAGGCACGAAAGCGUGGGGAUCAAACAGGA
RNAcentral lists this ribosomal RNA (253 nucleotides) under uncultured prokaryote. Its description in RNAcentral is "partial 16S ribosomal RNA". It matches the Rfam family "Bacterial small subunit ribosomal RNA", at positions 525 to 777 of the family's 1533-position model. The record is from RNAcentral.